GUGUGUGUAUUCAGCAGACUGUGUGUGUGUAUUCAGCAGACUGUGUGUAUUCAGCAGUCUGCUGAAUACACACACAGUCUGCUGAAUACACA
Molecule: non-coding RNA, 92 nt
Organism: Pelobates cultripes (western spadefoot toad)
Lineage: Eukaryota; Metazoa; Chordata; Amphibia; Anura; Pelobatidae
Source: the annotation of a GenBank genome assembly